AUUGAACGCUGGCGGAAUGCUUUACACAUGCAAGUCGAACGGCAGCACGGACUUCGGUCUGGUGGCGAGUGGCGAACGGGUGAGUAAUAUAUCGGAACGUGCCCAGUCGUGGGGGAUAACGUAGUGAAAAUUACGCUAAUACCGCAUACGAUCUAUGGAUGAAAGCGGGGGACCUUUGGGCCUUGCGCGAUUGGAGCGGCCGAUAUCAGAUUAGGUAGUUGGUGGGGUAAAGGCUCACCAAGCCAACGAUCUGUAGCUGGUCUGAGAGGACGACUAGCCACACUGGGACUGAGACACGGCCCAGACUCCUACGGGAGGCAGCAGUGGGGAAUUUUGGACAAUGGACGCAAGUCUGAUCCAGCCAUUCCGCGUGCAGGACGAAGGCCUUCGGGUUGUAAACUGCUUUUGUACAGAACGAAAAGGUUUCUACUAAUACUAGGAGCUCAUGACGGUACUGUAAGAAUAAGCACCGGCUAACUACGUGCCAGCAGCCGCAGUAA
Molecule: ribosomal RNA, 500 nt
Filed under: uncultured bacterium
Lineage: Bacteria
Description: partial 16S ribosomal RNA
Rfam family: Bacterial small subunit ribosomal RNA
Source: RNAcentral